UCUGCGAAAAGCGUCGGUAAGGUGAUAUGAACCGUUAUAACCGGCGAUGUCCGAAUGGGGAAACCCAGUGCAAUUCGUUGCACUAUCGUUAACUGAAUACAUAGGUUAACGAGGCGAACCGGGGGAACUGAAACAUCUAAGUACCCCGAGGAAAAGAAAUCAACCGAGAUUCCCCCAGUAGCGGCGAGCGAACGGGGAGCAGCCCAGAGUCUGAAUCAGCUUGUGUGUUAGUGGAACGGUCUGGAAAGUCCGACGGUACAGGGUGAUAGUCCCGUACACCAAAAUGCACAGGCUGUGAACUCGAAGAGUAGGGCGGGACACGUGGUAUCCUGUCUGAAUAUGGGGGGACCAUCCUCCAAGGCUAAAUACUCCUGACUGACCGAUAGUGAACCAGUACCGUGAGGGAAAGGCGAAAAGAACCCCGGCGAGGGGAGUGAAAAAGAACCUGAAACCGUGUACGUACAAGCAGUGGGAGCACCUUCGGGUGUGACUGCGUACCUUUUGUAUAAUGGGUCAGCGACUUAUAUUCUGUAGCAAGGUUAACCGUAUAGGGGAGCCGCAGGGAAACCGAGUCUUAACUGGGCGUUAAGUUGCAGGGUAUAGACCCGAAACCCGGUGAUCUAGCCAUGGGCAGGUUGAAGGUUGGGUAACACUAACUGGAGGACCGAACCGACUAAUGUUGAAAAAUUAGCGGAUGACUUGUGGCUGGGGGUGAAAGGCCAAUCAAACCGGGAGAUAGCUGGUUCUCCCCGAAAGCUAUUUAGGUAGCGCCUCGUGAAUUCAUCUUCGGGGGUAGAGCACUGUUUCGGCUAGGGGGUCAUCCCGACUUACCAACCCGAUGCAAACUACGAAUACCGAAGAAUGUUAUCACGGGAGACACACGGCGGGUGCUAACGUCCGUCGUGAAGAGGGAAACAACCCAGACCGCCAGCUAAGGUCCCAAAGUCAUGGUUAAGUGGGAAACGAUGUGGGAAGGCACAGACAGCCAGGAUGUUGGCUUAGAAGCAGCCAUCAUUUAAAGAAAGCGUAAUAGCUCACUGGUCGAGUCGGCCUGCGCGGAAGAUGUAACGGGGCUAAACCAUGCACCGAAGCUGCGGCAGCGACACUAUGUGUUGUUGGGUAGGGGAGCG
Molecule: ribosomal RNA, 1130 nt
Filed under: Klebsiella pneumoniae
Lineage: Bacteria; Pseudomonadati; Pseudomonadota; Gammaproteobacteria; Enterobacterales; Enterobacteriaceae
Description: partial 23S ribosomal RNA
Rfam family: Bacterial large subunit ribosomal RNA
Source: RNAcentral